This 22-nucleotide transfer RNA is filed under the name Pritchardia glabrata. Its description in RNAcentral is "partial tRNA-Asp". Lineage: Eukaryota; Viridiplantae; Streptophyta; Magnoliopsida; Arecales; Arecaceae. The record is from RNAcentral.
CGUUGUGUUGUAACAGAAACAG